UACAUAGGGGGCAAGCGUUGUUCGGAAUUACUGGGCGUAAAGGGCGCGUAGGCGGCCUGUUAAGUCGAACGUGAAAUCCCCGGGCUCAACCCGGGAACUGCGUCCGAUACUGGCAGGCUUGAAUUCGGGAGAGGGAUGCGGAAUUCCAGGUGUAGCGGUGAAAUGCGUAGAUAUCUGGAGGAACACCGGUGGCGAAGGCGGCAUCCUGGACCGAGAUUGACGCUGAUGCGCGAAAGCCAGGGGAGCAAACGGG
This 253-nucleotide ribosomal RNA is filed under the name uncultured bacterium. RNAcentral describes it as "partial 16S ribosomal RNA". It matches the Rfam family "Bacterial small subunit ribosomal RNA", at positions 524 to 776 of the family's 1533-position model. The record is from RNAcentral.